ACAACAGGUGGAGCCUGCGGUUUAAUCGGACUCAACGCCGGGAAACUCACCAGAUAAGACAGCUGAAUGAUAGUCGGGCUGAAGACUCUACUUGACUAGCUGAGAGGAGGUGCAUGGCCGUCGUCAGUUCGUACUGUGAAGCAUCCUGUUAAGUCAGGCAACGAGCGAGACCCACGCCAACAGUUGCCAGCUCGUCCUCCGGGAUGGUGGGGACACUGUUGGGACCGCCUCUGCUAAAGAGAGGAAGGAAUGGGCAACGGUAGGUCAGCAUGCCCCGAAUUAUCUGGGCUACACGCGGGCUACAAUGGGUGGGACAAUGGGUAUCGACACCGAAAGGUGAAGGCAAUCUCCUAAACCCAUCCGUAGUUCGGAUUGUGGGCUGCAACUCGCCCACAUGAAGCUGGAAUCUGUAGUAAUCGUGUCUCAAAAUGGCACGGUGAAUAUGUCCCUGCUCCUU
This 457-nucleotide ribosomal RNA is filed under the name uncultured Methanomicrobiales archaeon. Its description in RNAcentral is "bacterial SSU rRNA". It matches the Rfam family "Archaeal small subunit ribosomal RNA", at positions 881 to 1338 of the family's 1478-position model. Lineage: Archaea; Methanobacteriati; Methanobacteriota; Methanomicrobia; Methanomicrobiales. The record is from RNAcentral.